GGGCGUUUAGCUCAGUUGGUUAGAGCGCUGUGUUCACACCGCAGAGGUCACAAGUUCGAAUCUUGUAACGCCCA
Molecule: transfer RNA, 74 nt
Filed under: Pirellulaceae bacterium
Lineage: Bacteria; Pseudomonadati; Planctomycetota; Planctomycetia; Pirellulales; Pirellulaceae
Description: tRNA-Val
Rfam family: tRNA
About the family: Transfer RNA (tRNA) molecules are approximately 80 nucleotides in length. Their secondary structure includes four short double-helical elements and three loops (D, anti-codon, and T loops). Further hydrogen bonds mediate the characteristic L-shaped molecular structure. tRNAs have two regions of fundamental functional importance: the anti-codon, which is responsible for specific mRNA codon recognition, and the 3' end, to which the tRNAs corresponding amino acid is attached (by aminoacyl-tRNA synthetases). tRNAs cope with the degeneracy of the genetic code in two manners: having more than one tRNA (with a specific anti-codon) for a particular amino acid; and 'wobble' base-pairing, i.e. permitting non-standard base-pairing at the 3rd anti-codon position.
Source: RNAcentral